This 253-nucleotide ribosomal RNA is filed under the name uncultured bacterium. RNAcentral describes it as "partial 16S ribosomal RNA". It matches the Rfam family "Bacterial small subunit ribosomal RNA", at positions 524 to 776 of the family's 1533-position model. The record is from RNAcentral.
UACGUAGGGGGCAAGCGUUGUCCGGAUUUAUUGGGCGUAAAGAGCGUGUAGGCGGCCGCACAGGUCCGUUGUGAAAACUGGAGGCUUAACCUUCAGACGUCGAUGGAAACCGUGCGGCUAGAGUCCGGAAGAGGAGAAUGGAAUUCCUGGUGUAGCGGUGAAAUGCGCAGAUAUCAGGAAGAACACCUAUGGCGAAAGCAGCUCGCUGGGACGGUACUGACGCUGAGACGCGAAAGCGUGGGGAGCGAACAGG